RNAcentral lists this long non-coding RNA (2335 nucleotides) under Solanum tuberosum (potato). RNAcentral describes it as "long non-coding RNA (STUB_LNC010824)". Lineage: Eukaryota; Viridiplantae; Streptophyta; Magnoliopsida; Solanales; Solanaceae. The record is from RNAcentral.
UCUGCCGCAGGCAAAAUCCUAGUAUUUAAGUGGAGAAGGAUUAAGGUACAGGUCCAUUAUCCACCGAACUUCAGACUCUGCACCAGUUGGCUCUCAAAAUAUUUCAGUUGUCAACGAAAAUAGAAGAGAUUUUGGGAGCAUAUACCUUGUGAAAAGGAAGGGUACAUAAUUUGUGCAGUCAGGAACUGGUGAAGCUGGGGUAUCAGAAAGUGACUGCAUCAUAGGAUUUAUUUGCUGUCAUUAGUCUGCUGAAGCUGAAAGCAUUAGACCCGAACAUAGCACUUGAUCAAAUUGCUUCUCUAGCUGCAUGGGAUUUUUGCAUCUGCUGUUGUAUCCAAGUAAGCAACAAGCUUCAUUAAAGUGAUUGUUAGGCUGCCGACAGCUGUUGUUCGAUUCUCUGUGUUCCCUUAAGUAGUGAUUUUUUCUUAAUCAUGAUUAGUUAGGGAGGUUGUAUUCUAGUAAUCUGUGCAUUAUUUUCUAUUUUGGAACAUGCGUACACACCCCCUAGUAGCUUCAAAGAGAAAUCAAGUUGUGCAUUCUCAAUGUGUCUCCCUCUCUUCGUCUUACUAUAGAAUUCUGAAGGACAACACUAAAUCCUUGGCUUUUGGUUAUUUUGAGACUUAACUGCUAUGUCAUACUUUUUCAGGAUUUCAAAGACAAAAUACCCAUGCUGCAAGAGAAAUCUGGUCAAACGGAUUUUGUCUGGACCAGCAGAUUGUCUCUGCUGAGCCUUCUGCUGCACAUUGCAUGCAUAUAUCUUCUGUUCAGCAAUAAUAACUAGAUGACUCCAGCUACUUGGAAGUCUUCAAGCCAGUCAUAAUCCUUAAUGAGGUGUUACAACUGCAGUCAAUAUGACCUCGACCUUUGCUUUUGCAGAGAAAGGACAGUUGCUUACCAGAUGUUUAUAAAUUGGUUCUUUCGUACAACCAAUUGGAUAUUCUUGUGUUGUGUGAAUUCCUUUUUACCAAAAGUUAUGAGGAACCUCAGAGGUUUUGGGCCCUCAAGGAGGAAUUCGAGAAGUCCUCAGGGCUUUCGUCUAUUGGUAAGAGCACAACGCAUGAUGUGUGGAUUAGGUGCAUGUCACAAGUUUGAACUCUGCCGCAGACAGAAUCCUGGUAUUUAAGUGGAGAAGGGUUAAGGUACAGGUCCAUUAUCCACCGAACUUCAGACUCUGCACCAGUUGGCUCUCAAAAUAUUUCAGUUGUCAACGAAAAUAGAAGAGAUUUUGGGAGCAUAUACCUUGUGAAAAGGAAGGGUACAUAAUUUGUGCAGUCAGGAACUGGUGAAGCUGGGGUAUCAGAAAGUGACUGCAUCAUAGGAUUUAUCCAACAGCUGUUGUUCGAUUGUUUGUGUUCCCUUAAGUAGUGAUUUUUUCUUAAUCAUGAUUAGUUAGGGAGGUUGUAUUCUAGUAAUCUGUGCAUUAUUUUCUAUUUUGGAACAUGCGUACACACCCCCUAGUAGCUUCAAAGAGAAAUCAAGUUGUGCAUUCUCAAUGUGUCUCCCUCUCUUCGUCUUACUAUAGAAUUCUGAAGGACAACACUAAAUCCUUGGCUUUUGGUUAUUUUGAGACUUAACUGCUAUGUCAUACUUUUUCAGGAUUUCAAAGACAAAAUACCCAUGCUACAAUAGAAAUCUGGUCAAAUGGAUUUUGUCUGAACCAACAGAUCGUCUCUGCUGAGCCUUCUGCAGCACAUUGCAUGCAUAUAUCUUCUGUUCAGCAAUAAUAACUAGAUGACUCCAGCUACUUGGAAGUCUUCAAGCCAGUCAUAAUCCUUAAUGAGGUGUUACAACUGCAGUCAAUAUGACCUCGACCUUUGCUUUUGCAGAGAAAGGACAGUUGCUUACCAGAUGUUUAUAAAUUGGUUCUUUCGUACAACCAAUUGGAUAUUCUUGUGUUGUGUGAAUUCCUUUUUACCAAAAGUUAUGAGGAACCUCAGAGGUUUUGGGCCCUCAAGGAGGAAUUCGAGAAGUCCUCAGGGCUUUCGUCUAUUGGUAAGAGCACAACGCAUGAUGUGUGGAUUAGGUGCAUGUCACAAGUUUGAACUCUGCCGCAGACAGAAUCCUGGUAUUUAAGUGGAGAAGGGUUAAGGUACAGGUCCAUUAUCCACCGAACUUCAGACUGUGCACCAGUUGGCUCUCAAAAAAUUUCAGUUGUCAACGAAAAUAGAAGAGAUUUUGGGAGCAUAUACCUUGUGAAAAGGAAGGGUACAUAAUUUGUGCAGUCGGGAACUGGUAAAGCUGGCCGCUGUGGUAUCAGAAAGUGACUGCAUCAUAGGAGUUAUUUGUUGUCAUUAGUCUGCUGAAGCUGAAAGCAUUAGACCCGAACACAGGACUU